Molecule: ribosomal RNA, 253 nt
Filed under: uncultured bacterium
Lineage: Bacteria
Description: partial 16S ribosomal RNA
Rfam family: Bacterial small subunit ribosomal RNA
Source: RNAcentral
UACGUAGGGUGCAAGCGUUAAUCGGAAUUACUGGGCGUAAAGCGUGCGCAGGCGGUUAUAUAAGUCAGAUGUGAAAUCCCCGGGCUCAACCUGGGAAUUGCGCUUGUUACUGGCAGACUUGAGUGUGGCAGAGGGGGGUGGAAUUCCAAGUGUAGCAGUGAAAUGCGUAGAUAUUUGGAGGAACACCGAUGGCGAAGGCAGCCCCCUGGGUUAACACUGACGCUCAUGCACGAAAGCGUGGGGAGCAAACAGG